AAUUUUCUCAGCAUCAAUAAGAAAGCUGGUGGUGGUCACUUCUAGUAAAGGGAGUGCUUUACUGCUGUGGGCUGUUAUUUUUUUUUCCCUGGCUGCCUGUGUCCAGCCAUAGAGAUGUCAGCAUACUUACAAAAGCAUGGGCUCCACACUGCUGGGUUUUCAGCAGGGGGAAGUAUUGUCAAUGCAAGAUACAGCAGAAUAGGGAUACCCUAAAAAAAGGGAGUAAUUUGACAAUACCAACUCAGAAAAAUGCCUAAGAUGAAUUUUGGCAGGGCAGUAGCAGAUGUCUGAUGAGCCUCAGUGCACUGUGGAUGAUAUAGUUUGUCAAGUCAUAGGUGAAACUUCUUGUCUUUAAGUCAGAGAUGAGAAAUUCUGGGCCUUUCAACGUGGGAGAGCUGAAUCUGUCAAAAUAGUUUCAUUUUGCAUCUACGAACUGUGAAAAGACCUGUCUUCCUUUUUUUUUUCUUUGCUUGUAGUGUUUCAUCUCACCCCAGCCUUCAGUUGCAUGUAUCUCCUUGCUCAGAAGGCACUGGGUUUUCCAGUGAAAAGGUGACGUUUCAUUGCCACCCUCUGCCAGGUCAUAGCAGAGGAGACCAAAGGGAGCCAGUGGCCUUCUUCCUCCAUGAAGGGUAGGCUGGGGGCUGGUGACACUGAGAAGUGAAGACCCCACUAGUGCUCACCAGGAAAGAAGGGGAACAAAUCUGGGAGUGGGUACAUGGGGCUCCCUAUCCACCCAUGCAACCCAAGAGAGUGCCAGGCUUCUCCUGGCAGCAGAGAAUGUCACAUCCCUGCCCCGUGUGGAUUUUGCAUGACACAGGUGCAGCUGGUGAAGCCUUCAGUUGUUCUCCUGCUCACCUGGCCCACCAAAAGCACCAGGGAGCAGCCAGACCUGGCCAGAGCUGGAGCGUGAGGCUAGUGACAAAGAUGAAAGUAAAAGGAGGACUGUCCUGCCUCAUCCCAUGCAGGAUAAGCAUUUCUCAUCCCAUGUACUGUUCCUGUGGGAAAAACAGCAUAUGGUCCUGCUGA
RNAcentral lists this long non-coding RNA (1026 nucleotides) under Chrysolophus pictus (golden pheasant). RNAcentral's name for it is "lncRNA (ENSCPIG00010000234.1)". The record is from RNAcentral. Lineage: Eukaryota; Metazoa; Chordata; Aves; Galliformes; Phasianidae.